This 497-nucleotide ribosomal RNA is filed under the name uncultured bacterium. Its description in RNAcentral is "partial 16S ribosomal RNA". It matches the Rfam family "Bacterial small subunit ribosomal RNA", at positions 28 to 507 of the family's 1533-position model. The record is from RNAcentral.
GAUGAACGCUGGCGGCGUGCCUAAUACAUGCAAGUCGAGCGAACGGACGAGAAGCUUGCUUCUCUGAUGUUAGCGGCGGACGGGUGAGUAACACGUGGAUAACCUACCUAUAAGACUGGGAUAACUUCGGGAAACCGGAGCUAAUACCGGAUAAUAUUUUGAACCGCAUGGUUCAAAAGUGAAAGACGGUCCUGCUGUCACUUAUAGAUGGAUCCGCGCUGCAUUAGCUAGUUGGUAAGGUAACGGCUUACCAAGGCAACGAUGCAUAGCCGACCUGAGAGGGUGAUCGGCCACACUGGAACUGAGACACGGUCCAGACUCCUACGGGAGGCAGCAGUAGGGAAUCUUCCGCAAUGGGCGAAAGCCUGACGGAGCAACGCCGCGUGAGUGAUGAAGGUCUUCGGAUCGUAAAACUCUGUUAUUAGGGAAGAACAUAUGUGUAAGUAACUGUGCACAUCUUGACGGUACCUAAUCAGAAAGCAGCGGCUAACUACGUG